AGUGAACGCUGGCGGUAGGCCUAACACAUGCAAGUCGAACGGCAGCACAGUAAGAGCUUGCUCUUACGGGUGGCGAGUGGCGUACGGGUGAGGAAUACAUCGUAAUCUACUUUUUCGUGGGGGAUAACGUAGGGAAACUUACGCUAAUACCGCAUACGACCUACGGGUGAAAGCAGUGGAUCUUCGGACCUUGCGCGAUUGAAUGAGCCGAUGUCGGAUUAGCUAGUUGGCGGGGUAAAGGCCCACCAAGUCGACGAUCCGUAGCUGGUCUGAGAGGAUGGUCAGCGACACUGGAACUGAGACACGGUCAAGACUCCUACGGGAGGCAGCAGUGGGGAAUAUUGGACAAUGGGCGCAAGCCUGAUCCAGCCAUACCGCGUGGGUGAAGAAGGCCUUCGGGUUGUAAAGCCCUUUUGUUGGGAAAGAAAAGCAGCAGGUUAAUACCCCGCUGUUCUGACGGUACCCAAAGAAUAAGCACCGGCUAACUUCGUG
RNAcentral lists this ribosomal RNA (492 nucleotides) under uncultured bacterium. RNAcentral's name for it is "partial 16S ribosomal RNA". It matches the Rfam family "Bacterial small subunit ribosomal RNA", at positions 29 to 507 of the family's 1533-position model. The record is from RNAcentral.